AUUUAUAUAAUUUAUAUAAAAUAUUAUAUUUUCAAUAUAAAAAUAAUUUCAAUAAUUUAUAAAUU
RNAcentral lists this transfer RNA (65 nucleotides) under Exallonyx sp. ZJUH_2016014. RNAcentral describes it as "tRNA-Glu". Lineage: Eukaryota; Metazoa; Arthropoda; Insecta; Hymenoptera; Proctotrupidae. The record is from RNAcentral.